ACGCACGCUGGCGGCGUGCCUAAUACAUGCAAGUCGAGCGAAGUUUUUCUGGUGCUUGCACCGGAAAAACUUAGCGGCGAACGGGUGAGUAACACGUAAAGAACCUGCCUCAUAGACUGGGACAACUAUUGGAAACGAUAGCUAAUACCGGAUAAUAGCAUUAACUGCAUGGUUGAUGUUUAAAAGUUGGUUUUGCUAACACUAUGAGAUGGCUUUGCGGUGCAUUAGCUAGUUGGUGGGGUAAAGGCCUACCAAGGCGACGAUGCAUAGCCGACCUGAGAGGGUGAUCGGCCACACUGGGACUGAGACACGGCCCAGACUCCUACGGGAGGCAGCAGUAGGGAAUCUUCCGCAAUGGGCGAAAGCCUGACGGAGCAACGCCGCGUGAGUGAAGAAGGAUUUCGGUUCGUAAAGCUCUGUUGUUAGGGAAGAAUGAUUGUGUAGUAACUAUACACAGUAGAGACGGUACCUAACCAGAAAGCCACGGCUAACUACGUG
Molecule: ribosomal RNA, 498 nt
Filed under: uncultured bacterium
Lineage: Bacteria
Description: partial 16S ribosomal RNA
Rfam family: Bacterial small subunit ribosomal RNA
Source: RNAcentral